Molecule: long non-coding RNA, 1646 nt
Organism: Gavialis gangeticus (Gharial)
Lineage: Eukaryota; Metazoa; Chordata; Crocodylia; Gavialidae
Exons: 2
Source: RefSeq, a predicted model, not a curated record
GGAGCCAGGAAAUGAAAGCAACUACAAGGAAGAUCCUGGGAUCUUGACAGACGUACUGAUGGAAGAGUCAAAAGGCACAAAAAGUUCUGAAGACAAAUACAGGUGAUGGAAAAGGAUGGAGUGUGUUUAUUUAAAUAAGGAUCUCAGGAUGCAAUAUGGAGCAAUAAGUCAAGCAACACUGCUAAUGCCCAGAGGACAUGGGGAAAGGACAACUUUCUGAGAAGGGAAGGAAAUGGAAACACAUGGGAAAGGGGUUGGUGAAGGGUCCCGUUCCAGGGCUAUUGUUUAGAAAGGACAUCCAACCUAUCUGAGGAUGGAUGCACCUCAAGAGCUUGGGAUUUGCAGAAAAGGGAAGGUUGCAUCUAUAAAAUAGCAGAGAGCACUCGAAUUAACUGCACGUGAACUCAGCCUCGCAUGCGCUACAUAGCCAGAGAUGAUGUCUACCACCACUGAGCUCUCCUGGAGUCAGCCAAGGGCUAUGUACAGCAACAAACCAGCAGGUUACUGGAUAGGUGAAUGAAUGCCUGCUGACUGAAGGAAAAAACAACCCCCCACACACACAUACUGAAAUUAGAGCAAAGUCCCACAGUAUUCUGAACAAGAGGACAAGACAAGUGCCAAAAAUAAACGAUGGCAAUGAUGGGACAGAAAUCCAGAGGUGGCACAGGACUGCAGGUCCUGCUGCUGAAAGAGGGCUGCAAAGCAGAAUCUUCAAGAACCAGCUUUUGGGCACUAAACAAACACAUGCACUGAACCAUCUCCAAAACCCAAAGGGGAGGCCUGACUACUCUUUUUUUUUUUUUUGGAGAUUGGCAGAGAUUCGCUCAAAAGAAAAAUGCUGCUGAAUUGUCCCAAUUUCUGCAUUUCCUCUGAACUUUGGUGAGAAAACCCAGAUAAUGGUCUUAAAAGUCACUCAGGUGGAGGACCCUACUCCUGCACACUAUGUACCUACCUCCCCUGCAUAUGCUGUAUCUGACAUACGAAAAUCCUUUUCAGACUUUCUAAAGGAACAUCUACCAUAUUUUUAAAUCACUGUGGCACAUACUUUUUAUGUGACAGGUUUGUUAUAGUGCUUUUAUUUUCACAUAAUUUUUUCUCCUAUGCAUCUGUCAAAGGAAAAUUAUAUUAUUUUAACGAAGAACUAUAGUUCUUUUUUUUUAAAACAAUACUCGUUAAAAGCUGGACACUUUGUGCAAUACUUAGCAAAAAAAAUAAUAUAAAAUAAAAAACAAAACAAAAUUUGAGCAAAACAAAAUCAAAUUUAAUGGUCUUAAAUGCAAAAGUAAAAACAAACAAAAAACACAAAAAAGCAAAAGAAAAUUAACAGAAACAGAACAACUCAAAGAUUCAAGGCAGUCUGCAGAAAACUUGGGGGAUUAAUCUUUAAAUCUACAAAUCAAGGUUUUUUAAAGUAAUAUCUAACUUGCAAGAAGUAAGUACUUUUCUGCUGAGUGUUCAAUACGUAAAGCUAGUCAUCAAAACAAAAUCCUAUUAAAAUAGAAAAAUCUAGCACUCAUUAGAAGGGAUGCGAGAAAUACAAUGCUCAAAUGUUGAACUGUUUUUACAAAAUAAAACUGCCCUUAGGUAUUCAAAACAAUAACGAUCUUUGAAAAUGAGUAAGAAUCUUGCUGCAUUAUAAUGUACCA